GCCCCCGACGGAGGCCCCGCCCGCAGCGGAGGCCCCGCCCCACCAAGCUAGGCUGCGCCGCGCGAACCGAAUGAUGUCAUGCUCCGGAGCCGCGCGUGACCACCGCGGCCCGCCCUCGCCGCCCAUUGGCCGGCGCCCGUGGCCCGUCAGAGCAGCACCGCCCCCCAUUGGCCCGCUUCCCCGCCCCGCCGCCGCCCCGCGCCACAUAAUAAACAAUCGAGUAGAAUGCGGCGGGGGCGCCUUGGGAGCUGCGUCUUGGCUCCGAGUCCGCAGCCGUGCGGGGAGAAAAAGCUUUUCCCGAACGUGCUGUGGCGCUCGCACGGAAAAUUGCCUUCAGCCAGAGGGUACUGCUGCACCGAGGACCAAGCCGAGCCGUCUCUCGGUUUUCCCCGACCCCCUUGUCUCAAAGCUGAGUUGUGCCAGGCUGCAAGUGCCCUCCGGACUUGGGCUCCGAGGCGGUGCAGAUCUGUGUGUGGUGUGAGGGAAGGGUCUGGGUGGGAACGCGUCUGGCAGCCAGGUGUGCAAAUCCAGUGUGCCAAGUGCCCAGCGAUAGGGCAGCGAUAGGGGGACCUGGAUGCUACACCUCUGAAACUGUGUCAGUGUUGGUUGUCUUCAGGGGACAAAAAAUGUCCCAGAGGUGGCUCUCCUGUCCACAUGAUGCUGUGCAGAGAGAUGCAGCCUCAAUCCUUGCUUCGAUGUAGUGGUUCUCACACAGCACAGCCCUAAAAUAACCACCUUUCACAGCCCUGCUUCCCUCUACCUGCGAACACGAGUCACACUUGUACAGCAGAGGAUUUAAUCGGGGAUCAAGUGAUGAGAAUCAGGGCUGCGGGAAAGGAUUUACCUUUGCUGAGGCUGGCAGCCUGGCCUCUCCUUUGGCGAGCAGGUACCCACAUACGGCCUAUUUCACUUCCUUCAAAGAAUUAAUUAUUUUUCUCCUCUACCUGGCCCCUGGAGGAAGAAGUCUAAGCACCUCCCUCACACUGUCAUCCUCUAUUUCCAGCACUUGUUCUGGAGGUGUGGGUCCUGGUCCUUUUCCCAGAACUUUGUGUUUUGUUCUCUGACAGAUGUUCAAUGUAAAGUACAUAGACACACUUUGAAAAGGGACUGUUCCCCUCCCUUCCCCAUGGCAAUGUUAUUAUUGCUAGGUCAUGGCCUCUCCUUGAUUGCACCCGUGAAUCCUGAAUCCCCACCCUCUCCCCCAGGCAGCAGUACGAGUUCAACAGGCUGGUUGAAAAUGGAGUGCGUGUUAGGCUAGCCUACCUCCCUGGUAAGAUAUUCUUCUGGAAGGUCAGAGGGAGGCAUCUGAACCCUAUCAGGCAGAACGAGGAGAAGCUGACCUUGUGUCUCCUGGUGUGGGGGGCCCUGUAAGGCACACAGGGGGAAGUCCGUCCCCCCGCAGGAAUUCAGAAAGGGUUCAAAGGGGCUGGUGAAGUGUUAAGCAAAAGCAGUCAGCGGCUUAGCACGUGGUGGGGAAGUCGAUUAUAAGCACUUGCAGCUGGUUCUCUCUCUCACACCCUGGAGGAACUGGGUGACUGCUGACUCAGGAGCUGCAUCAAGUCAGAGGAAUGGGAGGGCGGUCAUAUUUCUUGAGUGCCUGUGACACACUGCAAAACGAUGGGAUAGCAAUGGGCACCUCCUACUUGCUGUCCCGUCUUGGAAGAGUGAUCACAGCAGCGUGCUGUGAGAAGCUGGAGCCCAUUGGUAUGUGCUGGAUGUGCUCUGGAAAGGCUGUGCAGCCGAGGCCAUGGGUCUCAUCUUGCAUGGAAACGUGUCUGAGCUCUGAAUUCCAGCAUUGAGCCAGGGGGAAAGACAGGCACAAGAGCUGCCCAACGUGGGGUGGUUCUGGGUAUGUGAAAGGCAGAAUGUCCUGUAUCUUGGGAUCCCGACAACCUAAAAAUAGUACUCUAGAGCCUCCAGGAUUAGGCAUCAGUUGAGCAGAGGCUGUUGGGAGGGCAGUUCUGAACUUUAAUGCCUCAGUUCUGCCCUAGCCCUGCUUCUGGUAUUAAAGAUGUUACAUUCCUUGCUGCUCAUGUGAAUGUGACUUAAACAUGCUCAGGGCAGGCAGUUAUAGCAAACUGCCCUGCAAACUCCUCCUGGAAUCUGAAAAGUUGAAUUCUUCCAUUCAUGCGCACCCUUGCCUGGCUUGCAAAAUCAUUCCCUUCAGUCUAGCAAACUGCUCUGUUAAAGCUGUGCAUCUGGAGUCGUUCACUGCCAGUUUACCUGUGGAGAGGCAAUAAUACCAAGACCGAAACCUGAUUUUAUUUUUUUAUUUAUUUUUUGGGGAUACCAUUUAGUGAGAACAUGUAAUUGAAUACAUGCUGAGAACUGAUCUGCUGAAGAGCCUGCUGUUUCUAAACACAGUAGCAACUCUUCAUAAUAGGCAUGUUUAGCUUAAAAUAUAUCAAGGUAGAGGUAUUAUAAGCCUUGUUUAACCCAAACAGAUUUUUUCCUUGGAAGCAAACAGGGAAAACUGGGGAGAAACUGUCACGGAAGUCUGACAGAUGUUCAAGUAUGUGAAGCUUAAAGAGGAACGUGUGCUAUUCAGUUUGCUCACAGAUGCUUUGUGACCUGUGUCUUUGCAGUAAUGAUGACACAAGCUUUUUUGAAUAAAAGGAAGAAAUUAACUGCCUUGGCUAAUUGUACUCUUGCUAGCGAGCUAACCAAGGACACCAUUUGACUGUGAAAAUUGUUGGUGCACCCAAAUCCCUCAGCUGGGGAGAAUAUCUGGGGUGUUCCCAAAUCUGUGGAUCAGAAGGGCUAUUUAAAAAUCUUCCUAAUUGGAAAAUUAACCACUAUUACUUUAAAACAGUGGUGCACUGCUUUGAAAAAUUAAGACCAUAUGGAAUCAUUUAUUACUUUUCAAUAUGUAUUUAGUCUCUGUACAAUUUUAUGUACUUGCUAAUGCAUAAAGUCUUUUGGAGCAGGAAUAAAGCACCACAAAGCAUGAUUUAAUGCUAUAGGGUCACCAAAUCUGUUUCAGAUUACUGGAUGUUUCAAUCUGCUGAAAAGAAGGGGCUGUCCCUGAACCAAUGAAACAAUAAGAAGGAAGGGAGGUGAGCUCAUAAAUCUGGAACACUUUGAAAUAUAGUGCACAUAUCAACAAAAACUUUUAAAGGAUUCAUGGGGAUUUGGUCACAUAAGAGAUAAAAUUAUGAAACAUUAUAUGAAGUAACAGGAAAGUUAAAACAAAGUCAGUAUUAAUAGUAUAAUACUUGGUUGCAAUUUAAGGCAUCUUAAUGAAUCUGAACAGUACAGGCCCACAUAAGCAUGUGACUGUAAGAGAAAAUAGGAGCAAAUAAUCUGGGAGUGCACAAAAGUGCUUUUGUUUGUAGUUCUGCAGUCACUGGACGUGCCUGUUCUAUUGGUUAUUCACAAACACCUCUGGCUCUUUCUUCCAGAAAUCCUAUCCAAACGUUUUUGUUCUGACUUAGAGGAGGACUUUGUGCUUUGGCUCUUUUUGUGCGGUUCAGUCUUGCGGCGGCAUCCUUCCUCUGGCAAGGGCCUGAAAUGGGUCUGAUGCUGCCUUUUUUUUUUUUUUUUUUUUUUUUGCAGAGUGACAAGCUGUGGGGCAAUCUUUGCUCUCAGGGCCUGGGCACUUUCCUUUCACUGGUUCAGCAGAGAUCAACAAGAAGAGGCUAAGUCUGAGAAGUUAACCAUGCAUGGUUCAAGCCACCUGGCAAUGAGCUCUGCAGGCAUAGGAGGCAACCUUUCUGCCUUUAUUGUGAACCUGAGAGCAGUAUAACCAUCUGGCUGGUUAUAAUUUAACAGAAACCCCAUUUUUUAUCUUGCUAUGGUGGUGUGCUUUCUUUUAAAUGUCAUCUGUAGAGUUUCCCAGGGAGUGGAGAAGUUUUGCUUUGUAUUUCUUACAGAUACUGACAAAAACUAGUCCACUGGAUUACCAUAAACCUAGCCAUAUUCUUUCUUAGAGGCAUGAGCAAGCUGAAAAGAGUUUGCAGUAACUUUUAUACUUCAAUCAAAAUAUUUUUCAGUAUAUAUUUGUCAUUUUUAACCAGUAGACUAAUUGACUGGUUAUUUUAUUAAUGUUGAAAUCUUACGAUUUUAGAGGAGUUAUUAAGCAAGUAAAUUAAUCUUCAGCUUUCCUGUGGCACUGAAGCUUGUUCAUCACUGUUGUGCUUUCCACCAUUCUUUAAACCCUUGGUAAUCGAUAGUGGUAAUUUCAAAUAAGUUCAGAUCUUUUGUUCCAAGUAAACUGAGCAUGCAUGCAUCUUCUGAAUCAGCACCUUAACGUGACCUCUCCUGUCUGCUCAAAUUAUUAAAAUCAAAAUAAAGUUCUUCAGACAAAAUGAAGCCAGUUGAAUGAAUACAUAAUAAGGAUUAAAACAAAUACCGUGAGGAGUAAUUGCUGUCUCCGAUUAACUUUCAUCCAGUCCAUAUAUCUUAGCCAUUGGAAAAUCUUAAAUAAAAUCUUCUUUAAAGUCCUUUCAAACUUUUUUGAGAGUAGUUGUCAGUUUAGGCAUGUAUCCCAACUUUAACUUGUACGUAUGGUAAAAAUAUUAUUUGCCCAUAGAUGGCAAUAGCAUUACAUUGCUGAAUUAGCCCUCAGCCUAUGAAAUGAGGGUGUGAUGGUGGUGAACAUUAACCUUGGGAAUGGAAAAAAAAUAUCUUGCCUUUUCUUUUUCUUCUUUUUUUUUUUUCUUUCUUGUCUGCAGCAGUGGUAAUGGGGACUGUUCUAUUUGCAGGAAUGUUGGGACUAAUCAUGUGAGAAAAGAUCCUGGAGUGAUGAGGCAGCAUAUUUCCCAUGUCUGAGGUCAGGAUUUGUUCUGUGAAGCUGACCUUUAAAACAGCCUGAAAAUGAGGAACGUGGCACCAGAGAGCAGAGCAGGAAGCAUGAAAUGAUGGUAGGAGAAAGCCGGAGGCACCGUCCUGGAACAGGCAGUCCCUUUUAUCACUGGGAAAUGGCGGACCACAGAGCGAGUGGAUGUGUUUCCAGAGCCACAGCAGGUGCAACUCUUGGGGCAGGGAGCUCUCCGGGUGAGUCCUUCCAUUAUCCUAAGAACAAGUAUCCCCACAAGUCCUUGCCAAUCUAGGACUUUAUAGCCUCAGCCUGCUAAUUUUUUACCACUGGAGAGGCCAGUGUGUGCACGCUUUGGAGAAGACAAGCAAAGAAUGAGGGAAUGCAUUUUGACUGGAAGUGGCCACCAAAUUGCAGAAACAAUGAGCGUGGUUGAUGAGAAAUUGCCUGCUUGGCACAACCACAACACCUUAGUGAAGAGAGUGAUGCAAGUGCUUGAACCACUGGCAUAGCAGAGGCUGAGGAAAAAAUGUUCUCUUCCCUGAGAAAAGAGGAGAAAUCCCAACACAUGGUGGAGCCAGAUGAUGGCGUAUGAUGCACCCAAGUACAAAAGUAUUCCUACAAAACAGGAUUAGGGACUAGCUUUGCCUUAUAAGUCAGCCUUUCAUGCUAAUUUACUUUUUAUUCUGCUUUAGCCUGGGCUCUCCAUUUUGCUUGGAUUAUGGAACAGUGGUGCCUGAAGUCACUUAAAAUACAGCAUUGAACUUGUCUGUUGCCACCGAUGGUAAAUGCACUAAAGUUAAAGGAGAGGAAGCCACGAAUCCUGACAGCGUGUCUAGCCUCUCCCUUCCUCAGGAGUAUCUCAACCCAAGUGAAACAGUAAAGUCUCCCCAGGACCUGUGACACAACAUCAGGGGGGCUUUGUGCAUCCCCCUUGCAUGACUGUGGGAAAGCUGGGAAGUAAAGGUAAUAAGAAGAUAGGAGCUUCUGUCUGUUUUAAGCUAAGAAAUGGGAAGCUAUUCUGAAAUACAUUUUCCCCUGCUUUUACCAUCUGCUUACUGUGUUAUAUGCAAGCAAAAAAUUCAAUCAUCUUUCUGUUUAAAAGACAGGAGGCACUAAAGCCCAAUUCCUCCAUUGUAGGGACCCACCUUCUACUCUAACCAGUUACCCAAGUACAUCGAAGGAUUUUGACCCAAGGGCCGAGGCUUCUGAAGUUCAUUUUUCACAUGGGACAUAGGCAGGAGCUUGUGGCAUUAACAGCUCAAUGGCUUCAGCUCUAAAUGAGCUGGCAAAGGUGUUCUCAGCCCAGAAACUUUUUCUAUUUUUUUUUCCAGCUGUAGCAGUUGAUCAGAGAAGCAGGUCAUAGAAUCAUAGAAUGGAAGGGACCCACAAGGAUCAUCCAAUUCCAACUCUUGGCCCUGCAUAGGACUUCCCCAAGGAUCACAUCAUGUGCCUGAGAGCAUUGUCCAAAUGCUUCUUGAACUAAGAAAGGCUUGGUGCUGUGACCACUGCCCUGGGGAGCCUGUUCCAGCGCCCAGCCACCCUCUGGGUGAAGAACCUUUUUCUAAUAUACAGCCUAAACCUCCCCUGACACAACUUCAGGCCAUUCCCUUGUGUCCUGUCACUGGUCACCACAGAGAUCAGUGCCUGCCUCUCCUCUUCCUGUCACGAGGAAGUUGUAGACUGCAAUGAGUUCUCCCCUCAGUCUCCUCUUCUCCAGACUGAACAGACCAAGUGACCUCAGACACUCCUCACAUGGCUUCCCCUCAAGGCCCUUCAUCAUCCUCAUUGCCUUCCUUUGGAUGCUCUCUAAUAACUUUCUAACUCUUUUAUGUUGUGGUGCCCAAAACAGUACACAAUAUUCAAGGUGAGGCUGCACCAGUGCAGAGCAGAGCAGGACAAUCCCUUCCCUGAUGCAAAGGACAUGGUUGUCCUUCCUGGCUGCCAGGGCACUGCUGACUCAUAUCCAACUUGCCGUCAACCAGGACCCCCAGGUCCUUUUCCAUGGCACUGCUUUCCAGCCUCUCAUUCCCCAGUCUGUACGAACAUCCAGGGUUGCCCCAUCCCAGAUGUAGAAUCUGGCACUUUCCCUUGUUGAACUUCAUAGGUUGGCGAUUGUCCAGUCUUCGAAUUUGUUGAGGUGUCUCUGCAGGGCCUCCCUGCCUUCCAGGGAAUCAACAGGUCCUCCCUAUUUAGUAUCCUCAGCAAACUUGCUUCGUAUCCCUUUGAGUCCUGCUUCCAAGUCAUUUAUGAAGAUGUUGAAGAGCACAGAGCCUAAAUGUGGAGCUCUGGGGAAUCCCACCAGUGACAGGUCACCAGUCUGAUGUUACCCCAUUCACUAUCAUCCUCUGUGCUCGACCCGUGAGCCAAUUGCUCACCCACCACAUGAUAUGUUUAUCCAGCUGUGUGCUGGAUAAACAUUUUGUCUGGAAGGAUUCUGUGAGAGGCAGUAUUGAAAGCUUUGCUGAAGUCUGAAAAGAUGACAUUAGCUGGCUUCCCUUGGUCAACUAGGUGGGUUACCUUGUAAAAAGAAGUUUGGCAAGCAGGACUUUCCCCUCAUGAAGCCAUGCCGGCUGUGACCAGUGAGCUGGUGCUUUACCAGUUGGUCGUGCUUUCCUUGCAAACCUUAUCUUCCACACCAAGUCAUUUAUGACACUUAGCCUAUGAUUCAUCAUCGUUGCCUUGUUUUGUAAAACUAAGUUAAAUAAACCCUGGACCAAGCAGAGAAAAACUGCAGGGCUGCCUGGAUACUACACUGUAGAAGUGGAUGGUUAAACAGGAGGCAGAUGUCUGUUGAGCCUGUGAGUUUCACAGAAGGAGGAGCUGAGGUGGAGGAGUGGGGCUGGGGGCAGAGGAAUGGAGGGUACCCAAGCACUGUACAGUCAACCAAAGUCAAGCAAAGGAAUGGCAGGCAGUCCCUGUUCAGAGAGGGGACACUAGUUCUCAGACUGAACAGGAAAAGGCAAUCUGGCAAGGACAAGGACACGGCUUUGUAAUGGUACAGGGGACCCCUGGAAAGACCGUGAAAUGAGAACAAUCAAUUAACAAGCUGCUGUGGCUUCAGAAAAGCAAUUAUAGACAUACUGAUGUAAUGAGCACAUCUGAUGCACAGAAGCUAUUUAACCUUCAUCCUUGUGCCUUAUAAAGCACCUCUGGGGCACUGGGUAAGGCUGUUAAUUAUUAAGGUCAACCUUAGCAGACAGAGGUGUCCUCAAGUAUGGGUUGCUGUGAUACACUCAGAUAAUUUCUCCAUUAUGUCAAUAACUAAUUUCCUGAAUUGUUCAAGAAUUGAAAGAUUAGCAUCCAUUAACCAAGCCUUAACUCAUGGCUAUGGGAGCAGUUACAGACCACAAGGACUUCAAAACCCCUUCAUAGCUCCUUGAGUACAUAUAAUAUACAUACACACAUAUACAUACACACUACUCCACCAGCUUGUUUACACACUACUGCACCAGCUUGGCAAAAUAAAUAACCAGUGCAUAUAAAAAGCCUGGGCAGGCAGUGACAGGCAUUGGCUUGAGCAGAUGUCUUGAUGUUUGAGCAUUGUCUUCAGGUGCUCUGAGAGAAGAGGAUGAAGUCACUCUGACUUUUAAAGAACUGUCUACUGAGGGAUUUUAAAUGAACAGAAUCACAAUCAGACCAAAAUACCAAUUCUAUUUACUACCAAAAGGGCAUUUUUUAAUGAAAAAAAAAUUUAAAAAUUUCAUACAGCAGACAUUUCAUGGAUUUGAUAAACUGUGACUUAUUACAUCGUUCACCCUUAUGCUGCAAGACAAAUCUCAUUGCUUUUAUUUAUGCAGGCCAUAUAAUUUUUUGUACCUUAAUGCAAACAUUUUUUUCCAAGCACAGCCUCUGAAGAACCACUAUAUUUGGAAACUGCAAUAUAGGUUGGUAGGAAAUUCCACUGGUUUUACUGUUUUGCCUUAAAGCCAAGCACGACUGGAAAAGCAGCUAUCCUAAGCGGAAGCUGCCUGAGCUGGCACACCAAUUGCACUCAACUUUUGGAGAAGGGAAAUGGCUGUGUUACUGUGUCACAGCAUUAUACGUGUCUGAGCUUACCUGCCUGAGACUUUGCUGGCUGACUGCCUGGAGUUAAAUCAAAGGAGGCUGAGGAGAGACAGGAGAGAGGAGGAAAUGAAACAAUGACAGUGAUAAAGCCUAAUAAUACCAAUGGUCCUUCAGAGGAUCAGUGGGGAGCGAGGCACUGGAAUAAGUGCUGCCAGCCUGCUGCCAGAAGGGUGAGAAGCUGUUUUACCAAGGCCAGCAAUGAACACGAAAAGAUAAUAAACCCUCCCCCAGCACAGACGAAAGGACAGGGGAGUGGAGGUAGGGAAAGGAGGUGAGAGCAACCCUUUAAGGAGAAACACUACCGGAGUUGCAGCUGCACCUGGGUGUGCAGCCAAAGCUGGGGACCGAUGGGCUGUGGGAUGGGAUUUCAAGGGCUUGUCUAGGCUGCUGGAGAGGUGAAGAAGAAGAAGAAGCACCAACACCUUAGCCCUGUCUCCUGCCCUCCCUGGCGGGCUUUUGGGUGUACUGCCAGGUCUUCUGCCCCAAAGGGACAGUUUCAUCUGUCCAUCGCAGGCUGUUGAGAGGGGAAAAGGUUGACAGUCAGUGUUCAAAGACAGUAGUCCUGUUUAUGUGCCAACACAGUGAGUAGGGUGGGGGAGACAAAAUGGGGGUGCCAGCCCAGUCAGAGGGAGCUGAAUGUGGCAGCAGCCCACAUCUGGGCUUGUGCCCUGGGAGAAAUGGCAAAGCUCGAGUGGGGAGGGACGCUUCUCCCUCACCUGGAAUGAUGUCUGGCUUUUUCUUCCUCCCACAGACAUCCUUUCUUAGACCGGUUGUUACCACCUAUCCCCACAAACUUCAUCUCACCUGUGUCCUUAGACUGCCAUGGCUGCAGCGUCACUGCUGCAGCCUCACUGAGGUACCUGCGAGCUGGGGGCAAGCGGCUGUGGGAGAGGCCAUGGGGGGAGAACAAGCCCAGGUGCACCACACACUGGAGCCGUCUGCCCACUGAAACUGGCCAGGCGGCUGUGACUGAAAUCUAAUUUUCCUGGUGCAUUCCAUGGACAUUUUAAUCAGCGUUUUCUACAAUCUACUUGGCAAAGAGGCUCAGUUGGCAGCUGCCUGACUGAAUGGGCUUUGCACCCAGUCUAACCUUCUCCAUUCGCAAUUUCCAGUGCUGGAAAACCUCUCUGUCUCACUCUCAGAAGUUUCUAUAGCAAUCAUGGCCAUCCCAGCAAAGCACUGAAAAUGGCAGCCCAUUCAGAUUGUAAUUUUGCUGGACAGUAGUUGCUCCUCUCUCCCCUGGCCUCUGAAAUGUUACUUUUUGGGAGGUAUGAACUGCAACUGGAUGAUACUGGUCCUCUGCCUAUGUUUUCAGCGAACUUCACUCCCCCUGCCCCCCAAGGAACUUUGUUAGGUGUUUGCAGCACAUUUUAACCUCAGUUAACAGGGGAGCAUUGUUGGGCACAUCAUACCUCAGCUACAAGAAAGACCUGAUGUGAGCGAUGCUCUUAACAAGCCUGCAGGAACAAACUUCACCACCCAACGUGUCAUAUUAUGACCUGAACAUUAUCCAUCACUGUAGGUAGAAGAAGUUACACAAGUGUGUUUGGCUUUGCAAAUUGUAGAAGACCGGAGGACUCAAGGCUUUUUUCAUCAUGUCAGUGAGCUUACUUUCCCUGGUUCAGUUGACUUCAGCUUAAAAAAAUCACUCAAUCUUUUCAUACUUCGUCUUUCAGUGGCUGUGAUUGCGCUUAAUUACUGUGACGCCAAAGAACCACGUGUUAAAAAUAUGUUAAGCAACAGAACUAAAGGUUUUGCUUCUUGCAAUAAGAGGAUGUGGUAGAAUUAUACCACAGCUUGUGAAGGAAUCAAUUAACCAUUUCUUAAGCUCUUCUAAUAAUCUUUCCCUAUACUUUUUUGGCUAUUGUUGCCUGCUAAAAAAAAUUAGCUUACAGCUGAGUAAGGGGAAUUGUGGAUAAGUGUUUGCAAUUUGGCUUUGGACUGACACAGUGUGGAUUGCACUCAGAGAAUUUGAAGUCUUUGCACUGGCAGCAGUACUCGAAUCUGGGAAUAUAGGAUUCGCAUUGGAAGAGUGGAUUUUUAUAACGAUUUAAAUGAACAAUUUCAGCUAGAGAGUGGAUUAACAGAGCCAACUAAACCCUUCACCCUGACAAAGAACUGGCGGGAGGACUAUAGAAACAUAUCCAAAAUUUUAGCACCAUGAAUGCAGAGUAAUAGGUCAGUGAGAAGCAUUUCUGUAAUUUAAUAGCUCUCUUAGAAUUCAAUUCAAUUUAAAACAAAAGUUGUUUUACAAAUACAUGGAGAAUGCAGAAGGCUGGAGAGGGAGUAAGUGGCCUGCAUCCUCCAUCUGCUCCAUCCUCCCUCUACUCUCGCUCUAGGGACUGCCACUGCAAGUCCUCCCUCUCAGUAGACAGGAAGGCAAAGCAGGCAGUGCCCCAACCCAAGGUUCAGAAAUAUCUCCCAUUCUGCAGGGACAUGGAGGCACCCCCAGGUCCCACAUUUUGUAUUUCACAUGUGCCAGAGCUCCUGAGGCCCAAAGCCAAGCAGCAGGAAACUCCAAGCCCAGGGGUCUUGGGGAAGCUGAGACACACAAACCUGUGUUCCUACAUCAGAAACGAGGUUACAGAACAAAAGAAAACUAUUAAGUAUCCCAGGUCAAGCAGCAAUCUUCACUGACAAGAGAUGGACACAUUGGGGAUUGCUUAUCUCUGAGAGGAAAUGUAUUGGCAGGAUACAAGGGAACAUCCACUGGACAUACAAAGCUGCAAAGGCAAAUCGGCUGCACCUGCUCAUGAGGUAUUUCAGACGAGGCAGCAAAACAAAGGGAUUUUUCUUUUUAAGCAAAAUUUCUAAUUAGACCCUGAUGGCUCACUGCUGUGGGAUGUUUGAAGAAAAAACAAAAGCAUCCUAAAUCGGUCUGGAGAAGGGUCCAAUGUUUACAUGAGUGACAUGGCAUGCAACCAUUGGUAAGGGUACAGCCUCUUCCUUCACAAACCCGUGUGAAUCUGUAAUGGAAUAGUAAGACAUUUUCUGGAUGCUCUUCUCAAACACUCGAUACUGCACUACUGCAAGCAACAUAGUGGAACAAGCUGGUCACAGCUUGAUAUUCAAUAUGACAAUCUCCUUCUUCAAGAAAUGGGGAGAUUGGAUGUUUCCAGUAGAAGGUAUAGAAAUAGCCCUAAAACUUAACCCCUCCUAAAACAUUUUACACCACUGGUUUCUCAAGUCUGAAUUGCAAAACACUGCUGGCCAUCUGUCAGCAAGAACUGUCUGACUGUCUGCCACUGGCAUCCAUGGAGAAGUGCCAUAUUGCAGCCUUGCUCUCCCAUUCUCAGCACUUAGAGGUGCUGCUUGAGGGCAGCUGCACUGGGGAGCCCUUCCAGCCCCUUCAGUGUGGGGACACCUCUGCUUGCCUCCAUGUUAACUAACUGCUUCCCAGGGGCAAUAUUCCAAGCUGCACAAACCCCGCAACAACUAACCACAGAACUAACUAGCUGACAGCAAAUGCAGAUCUUGAACAGUAAGAAUCCCAGAUUAACAGGAAAAAAAGAGCACUUUAAUUGUGGGUUGCAAAGAGGUAGAUCGUCUCACCCUCAAGUUGCUGGAGAAAAGUCAGAGGUAGAAAAAAUGGGUUCUAAACCCAAAAAUUAGGCCUGCCUGCAGUAGUAACUGAGGUGGACAAGUCUAAACUGCUUCUGGAGGAGGAUGUUUCUGACAAGCUCUGGAUAUGCCCGCCAAAAGCUGAGCCAUGUGUAGGGCAAUGGCAUACAGUGCUACAGCUUGUACAGGCAAACAAAGUGCCCAGACACUGGCAGUGCUGCCAGUCUGGGUUUGCCCCUUGAAUACAGAGAUUUAGAAAAAAACAUCACACCAAGUAAUGAUGAUCAGAGGCUGGAGCACCUCUCCUCUGAAGACAGGCUGAGAGAGUGGGGGCUCUUCAGCCUGGAGAAGAGAAGGCUCCAGGGAGACCUUAUAGCAGCCUUCCAGGACCUAAAGGGGGCUGCAAGAGAGCUGGAGAGGGACUUUUCACAAGGAUACAUAGUGACAAGACAAGGGGGAAUGGCUUUAAACUAAAGAAGGAUGGGUUUAGAAUGGAUAAUAGGAAGAAAUUUUUUACUGUGAAGGUGGUGAGGCACUGGAACAGGUUGCCCAGAGGAGCUGUGGAUGCCCCGUCCCUGGCAGUGUUCCUGGACAGGUUGGGUGGGGCUUUUCAAAUCCAGGCUGGAUAAGGCCUUGAGCAACCUGGUCUAGCGGGAGGGUCCCUGCCCAUGGCAGGAGGAGUUGGCACUAGAUGAUCUUUAAGGUUCCUUCUAACUCCUUAAAAUUCUAUGAUUCUAAUUAACAGUGUGUCUGCCUAUCCAGAACACAUACCUAAAAGUUGCAUGGAUAAGUGAAAUGUUUAUAAAAUCUGGAUUUAUUAUUUUUUUUAUUUACAACAUAAGUUAUUCUCAAAUAACAGAAGGAUUUGACAGUGUUCAGUUUGUUAUAUAUUAGAUUCAAAAUGACAUAUUUUUUAAAAAAAGCUCAGUAUACAAGGAAAAUCCCAACAGAAUUUGCAAAGCUACUGUAUUUCACAAAUAUAGGAGCUAAGGUUGUAAUGAAUCAUAUAGGAAAUUUGUCAUUACAAGUAAAAGAAAAUCUGUACAAAUGGUUUAGGGUUUUAAUCACAAAUCUAAAUAUUUUUUCUUUAAAUAGACUCUUAAAAUAGAUGCAUUAUUUUAAAAAAAACAUCACUACAAAGAGGCACAUGGUGUUUAGUUGAUGGCAUUAAUUCUGCAACCCAAACAAGGAGACUAAUCCACUUUGAGUAGCUAAAUUAUUUUUUUGCACUAUUUACAUACUUUACUGAAGUAUUUUCCUCCCAGAGUCUGAGCAAGCAUCUUAGAAUAUUAAUGAGGGAAGCCUGGCAGCACUCCAGAGUUAGCAAAUAAGAAAGUAAUAUCAUUCCUAUUUUAUCAACAGGGAAACUGAGGCACCAGGCGUAUUGAGAUCCAGGCAACUGCAGGAAUUAAAAUCAUGAAUCUUGAUCCUGUUUGCCAGGUCUUGAUGGAGAGACUGUUCUUCCUCCUUGUUAGAGGGUUAGUGACCGUGCUGAGCAUUGUUUGAAACCUGGUCAGUUGUUCCUUUUCAUGUUUAGACUGCUGAAAAAUAGGUAAUAGCUAUCCAGCUGUAGUGUCAUCAUGAACAUCUUUACUCAAAAAAAAGUCACUAACAGUUUUCCUUUUCAGAUCAGAAACCAGCCACAGCAAAAUGUGCUUCAAUCCAUCCACCCAUCCAUCAAAAAGAUCUUCAGUCCCUCUAAAGCCUUUGGAAGGCUGUCUUGUUCUACCCAAACAACUGCAAUUGUUCCCUCAAUCUGUGCAAAAACAAAUACUGAAAACCAGUAACUCUGAAAGACAGAACUGCAUUAUUUAU
Long non-coding RNA from Pseudopipra pipra, 14200 nucleotides. RefSeq lists it as uncharacterized. The transcript has 2 exons. NCBI's taxonomy places the organism in Eukaryota, Metazoa, Chordata, Aves, Passeriformes, Pipridae. The record is from RefSeq and is a predicted model, not a curated record.